GGAGAGAAGGCCGAAGUAGCGGCCAUCGAGGCUGCCUUCGACCUGCCAGUUCAUCGCGAAGAACUCGCCGGUCUGGAUGCGUUGGCAGCCUUGCCAUUCGGGCAGAUCGCGGCNNNNNNNNNNNNCGCAUGGCCCAUGUCGACGCCAUCGACAGUGAUGACGAGACCCGUCCGGCAGACCACCUGUCCGGAAACCGCGAGCACGCGCUUCAGGAGCGGCACGCCCUUGGGCAGGUAGCCGCGCUUGUCGAGAAAGUCCGCGAGCGGCUCUGGCGCGUCGAUGGCCACAAGGUCCGUGACCUCGAAAAGACCGUCGAAGUCGAUCGUGUAGAAACCGAUCGGCGCACUGGCCGAGGCGUUCCACAUCAGCUUGAUCGGCAUCGGCGUGAGGCCC
Molecule: unclassified non-coding RNA, 393 nt
Filed under: Hevea brasiliensis (rubber tree)
Lineage: Eukaryota; Viridiplantae; Streptophyta; Magnoliopsida; Malpighiales; Euphorbiaceae
Source: RNAcentral